RNAcentral lists this ribosomal RNA (394 nucleotides) under uncultured bacterium. RNAcentral's name for it is "bacterial SSU rRNA". It matches the Rfam family "Bacterial small subunit ribosomal RNA", at positions 30 to 426 of the family's 1533-position model. The record is from RNAcentral.
AUUGAACGCUGGCGGCAUGCCUUACACAUGCAAGUCGAACGGCAGCACGGGAGCAAUCCUGGUGGCGAGUGGCGAACGGGUGAGUAAUAUAUCGGAACGUGCCCAGUCGUGGGGAUAACGUAGCGAAAGCUACGCUAAUACCGCAUACGAUCUAUGGAUGAAAGCGGGGGAUCGCAAGACCUCGCGCGAUUGGAGCGGCCGAUAUCAGAUUAGGUAGUUGGUGAGGUAAAGGCUCACCAAGCCGACGAUCUGUAGCUGGUCUGAGAGGACGACCAGCCACACUGGGACUGAGACACGGCCCAGACUCCUACGGAGGCAGCAGUGGGGAAUUUUGGGACAAUGGGCGCAAGCCUGAUCCAGCAAUGCCGCGUGCAGGAUGAAGGCCUUCGGUUGU